GAUGAACGCUGGCGGCGUGCCUAAUACAUGCAAGUCGAGCGAACAGAUGAGGAGCUUGCUCCUCUGACGUUAGCGGCGGACGGGUGAGUUACACGUGGAUAACCUACCUAUAAGACUGGGAUAACUUCGGGAAACCGGAGCUAAUACCGGAUAAUAUAUUGAACCGCAUGGUUCAAUAGUGAAAGACGGUUUUGCUGUCACUUAUAGAUGGAUCCGCGCCGCAUUAGCUAGUUGGUAAGGUAACGGCUUACCAAGGCAACGAUGCGUAGCCGACCUGAGAGGGUGAUCGGCCACACUGGAACUGAGACACGGUCCAGACUCCUACGGGAGGCAGCAGUAGGGAAUCUUCCGCAAUGGGCGAAAGCCUGACGGAGCAACGCCGCGUGAGUGAUGAAGGUCUUCGGAUCGUAAAACUCUGUUAUUGGGGAAGAACAAAUGUGUAAGUAACUAUGCACGUCUUGACGGUACCUAAUCAGAAAGCCACGGCUAACUACGUG
This 497-nucleotide ribosomal RNA is filed under the name uncultured bacterium. Its description in RNAcentral is "partial 16S ribosomal RNA". It matches the Rfam family "Bacterial small subunit ribosomal RNA", at positions 28 to 507 of the family's 1533-position model. The record is from RNAcentral.